CUUCUUGCUACACCCUCACGACUAAUGACAGUGCUUACUCCUUAAGGACUCUCAUUAGCCGCGCGAGUCACUGUAGCGGAAGAGAUUCAGAUUUUAGAAAACGACGUUUAAGUUGCUCUAUUUUGUUUCUUAAACACCGUUUUCUAGAAGAAAAGGGGCCCGAUUAGGCCCCUUUCC
This 177-nucleotide small RNA is filed under the name Xenorhabdus nematophila. RNAcentral describes it as "SraG RNA". It matches the Rfam family "SraG RNA". Rfam says of the family: This RNA was discovered in E. coli during a large scale screen. Evidence was found for specific cleavage of this RNA. RNAcentral also lists the same sequence under 3 other names. The record is from RNAcentral. Lineage: Bacteria; Pseudomonadati; Pseudomonadota; Gammaproteobacteria; Enterobacterales; Morganellaceae.